Non-coding RNA from Miniopterus natalensis, 1009 nucleotides. The record is from RefSeq and is a predicted model, not a curated record. Lineage: Eukaryota; Metazoa; Chordata; Mammalia; Chiroptera; Miniopteridae.
CAAAGAUGGAGACAUAAAAAUUAAAACUUCUCAUGAAAUUCAGAGUUUAUGGUUACUAUACUGGGGGAAAUAGUGAACAUUUUAUUAUUGAAGCAAAGAAAAAAAUGUCAGUGAGUGUAUUCUAAAUUUCAUCCAAAGGGGCAGGAAGAAAGAACUCUACAGAAUAUGUAUGUAGGGGAAGUUAUGAGACAAUAAUUAAUUAAGGUUAUUUUCUAUUGUUUACAUGUUCAACCUACCAUUACACCUCAACUCUACAAAAAAUAGGAAGAAAAAUGGCAAUUUCCCACUCCUAGCAAGAAUUGAACUCCUAUCAUAACUCCUUUUGUUCCCAGCAUGAGACUGUAGUGAUGGUAGAGUCCCAGGGAUCUGGAUAGUGAGGUAACAUCAUCACCAUAAGACUUUUGGGAAGCAUUCCAUCCUUCUUUAAAAUAACACCCAGAGCUCUGCUAGCAAACUCUCCAAGCCUGGUGUGAGGCCAAAGGAAGAAGAGCCUGAGGAUGAGGAACUUCGGAUCCUGAGCAUGAUUGGAAUUAAGUCUUUGUUGGAGGAGACGGGCUCUUCCUCCCCUCUGGCCAGCCCUGUGGCCUUACUGUGUGUGGGAAGACUCUAUUCUCUAUAGUUCUGAGAAAAUCCGAAACUUCCAGACACAAAAUGACUCCUGCUCUGGUGUUCUAGAACAAUAUGGAACUGCUGACAACAAAGUAAAUAUGGUGGUUUAUCAUUCCCCAAAUAUUAUCCCCACUUGAUGCUGCAAACAUGCAAAUAUUAUAUAUGACUACAGUAAAUGCUGAAAUGCUGGUGGUUUUUCUGAGCAAUGAGAAAACCAAUUUUAACUCCUUAACAUUUCUGAAUAGGUCUUCAACUCUGCUCAAAUCGGCUGGUUCUUUAUUUUCUCUUCCAAAUUAAUUUAUUUCACAAAUAUUGUCAGUGAUAUAGUGGCUUGAAGUACCUGCUGACAACACAGAUUUAGUAUUGGCAUCUGCCCAUAUUUUUGAAAUUUGUGCCCAUC